Molecule: long non-coding RNA, 271 nt
Organism: Pan troglodytes (chimpanzee)
Lineage: Eukaryota; Metazoa; Chordata; Mammalia; Primates; Hominidae
Exons: 2
Source: RefSeq, a predicted model, not a curated record
GCAUGCAAGCCUGGUCAGCCUGGUGAGGGAGGGCAUGCUCAGGCCCCCACCAGCCCCGGGCCUGCUGUCCUUCAGUGGCCUGUGUUCUGAAGACACGGGUGCAUCUCCGUCACCCACUACCCACCAAGUCACAAACACCUGGGGCGGGAAGGAAGCAGGUCAGCACGGCUGAAGCCAGCAAAUUUGUUAUGUUCUCUGGGCCUUAGCAGUCACGACCUUGGACCACGAGAUGUGCCCUUGUUGCAUUUAUUUAAAGAGUUGAAAUCUGAAA